Molecule: ribosomal RNA, 603 nt
Filed under: Clarireedia homoeocarpa
Lineage: Eukaryota; Fungi; Ascomycota; Leotiomycetes; Helotiales; Rutstroemiaceae
Description: SSU rRNA
Rfam family: Eukaryotic small subunit ribosomal RNA
Source: RNAcentral
GCAAGUCUGGUGCCAGCAGCCGCGGUAAUUCCAGCUCCAAUAGCGUAUAUUAAAGUUGUUGCAGUUAAAAAGCUCGUAGUUGAACCUUGGGCCUGGCUGACCGGUCCGCCUCACCGCGUGCACUGGUGCGGCCGGGCCUUUCCUUCUGGGGAGCCGCAUGCCCUUCACUGGGUGUGUCGGGGAACCAGGACUUUUACUUUGAAAAAAUUAGAGUGUUCAAAGCAGGCCUAUGCUCGAAUACAUUAGCAUGGAAUAAUAGAAUAGGACGUGUGGUUCUAUUUUGUUGGUUUCUAGGACCGCCGUAAUGAUUAAUAGGGAUAGUCGGGGGCAUCAGUAUUCAAUUGUCAGAGGUGAAAUUCUUGGAUUUAUUGAAGACUAACUACUGCGAAAGCAUUUGCCAAGGAUGUUUUCAUUAAUCAGUGAACGAAAGUUAGGGGAUCGAAGACGAUCAGAUACCGUCGUAGUCUUAACCAUAAACUAUGCCGACUAGGGAUCGGGCGAUGUUAUCUUUUUGACUCGCUCGGCACCUCACGAGAAAUCAAAGUUUUUGGGUUCUGGGGGGAGUAUGGUCGCAAGGCUGAAACUUAAAGGAAUUGACGGAAG